RNAcentral lists this small RNA (400 nucleotides) under Pongo abelii (Sumatran orangutan). Its description in RNAcentral is "retained intron". The record is from RNAcentral. Lineage: Eukaryota; Metazoa; Chordata; Mammalia; Primates; Hominidae.
UGUGUGCACCCCAGGGUCAGCCCCGAGUUUGAAUAGCAACAGGGGUCGGUGUGUCCAUCUGAAUCUGAAAUCUAUGAGGCAGGAGCUGGGGACAGGAUGGCAGGCGAGCCCAUGGCUGCUGCUGUACAGCCUACUGAGGUGACUGUUGAAGUUGGUGAGGACCUUCACAUGCACCACAUCCGUGACCAGAAGAUGCCUGAAGCUUUGGAGUUUAACCUUUCUGCCAAUCCAGAGGCAAGCACAAUAUUCCAGGAGAACUCUCAAACAGAUGAUUUGGAAUUUAACCCUUCUGAUAAUCCAGAGGCAAGCACAAUGCUCCAGAGGAACUCUCAAACAGAUGGUGAGACAACAUUGUUUUUUCUGCCAAGAGAAAGAAUAAAAACUCUUGUUUGAUCAGGUU